This 302-nucleotide long non-coding RNA is filed under the name Malus domestica (apple). Its description in RNAcentral is "long non-coding RNA (MDOM_LNC013255)". The record is from RNAcentral. Lineage: Eukaryota; Viridiplantae; Streptophyta; Magnoliopsida; Rosales; Rosaceae.
GGCCACAGAAGGAGGAGGCAGCAGAGGUUGAUCAGUUGGAGCUUCACUACGUGGUGCCGCUCCAGAAGACGAAGGCAGAUGUUGUUGGAACAAACCCACAAACCUCCGAUGAUCAAGUAAAAUUUGACCAUCGGUGUCCUGCAUUUGGUCAAUCUUCCUCUUCAUGCUGGUGGCAUAGCUGUGUGCGAGCUUGUGCAAUUCCUUAUUCUCAUGCUUGAGCCCUUUAAUCUCUUGCUUGAGACUCUGUAUUUCAGCCACCAAGGAUUCAACGUGACGGGUUCGGGCAUAUAGGCGUUGGGCCA